This 460-nucleotide ribosomal RNA is filed under the name uncultured bacterium. RNAcentral's name for it is "partial 16S ribosomal RNA". It matches the Rfam family "Bacterial small subunit ribosomal RNA", at positions 338 to 795 of the family's 1533-position model. The record is from RNAcentral.
CCUACGGGAGGCAGCAGUGAGGAAUAUUGGUCAAUGGGCUUACGCCUGAACCAGCCAAGUCGCGUGAGGGAAGACUGCCCUAUGGGUUGUAAACCUCUUUUGUCAGGGAGCAAUUGGCGCUACGUGUAGCGUUAUCGAGAGUACCUGAAGAAAAAGCAUCGGCUAACUCCGUGCCAGCAGCCGCGGUAAUACGGAGGAUGCGAGCGUUAUCCGGAUUUAUUGGGUUUAAAGGGUGCGUAGGCGGAAUGCCAAGUCAGCGGGAAAAUCGCGGGGCUCAACCUCGCUCCGCCGUUGAAACUGGCGUUCUUGAGUGGGCGAGAAGUAGGCGGAAUGCGUGGUGUAGCGGUGAAAUGCAUAGAGAUCACGAAGAACUCCGAUUGCGAAGGCAGCAUACCGGCGCCCAACUGACGCUGAAGCACGAAAGCGUGGGUAUCGAACAGGAUUAGAUACCCCAGUAGUC